Molecule: microRNA precursor, 94 nt
Organism: Ciona intestinalis (vase tunicate)
Lineage: Eukaryota; Metazoa; Chordata; Ascidiacea; Phlebobranchia; Cionidae
Source: Ensembl
UUUGGUGUUGUGCUGUGCAACUUAUAUCAGGAACAUUAUUUAUAAAGUGAUUGUGAAAUACAGUAAUAAGAUUGUACAUUGUAUUAAUACCUUA